ACAAGUGACUGUUGAAUGCUCAGCCUUAAAUGGCACAUCUCUAUCACUCCCAUCAAGACUCAUGGAACAUGACGAAAGAGGCAGAAAUAUGUGAGAGCCAGAGGAUGCGGAGGAGUGUUGUGGAAUGCUGUCUUCCAGACACGAUAAGCCCAUUCCUCCCGAAGUCACAGAAGUUGUAAUCAUCUUCAGAAGAUUGCAACAAGAUUGGCCCAUCAAUAUGCUAUCAUGGAGAAACUUGGGGACUCAUGAAGCCCCAUCUCUCUUUGAGGAUGUAUAGUUAAUGGUUACUGGAGCAUCCUAGUGAGGUCAACCCCUGGAGCUGUGCAGGAAGCACCACCUUUGUGAAAAGGUCUAAGAACAAGUUUGAUGAAGAAACUAAUCUUGUGGCAGAAAACUAAAAUUAAUGAACCAACGCUAUCGCUAUUUGUAGGAAAUGAUGAAAAACUGCAUAGUUAAAAUAAAUAAAGAAGGGCUUUGGGAAAGAACUGUCUCGAUUUGCAUAAUCUACUUGUGUUACAAUUCAACCUCAAACACUGGAGGGGAAAAAAGGAAGAAAAUAAUGUUAACACAGCUUAAAAUGCACAUGUCAAACUCAGCUUCAUUAAAAAAAUCUAUUUCUCAUUAAUUAAUAA
This is a long non-coding RNA of Peromyscus eremicus (cactus mouse), 632 nucleotides long. RefSeq lists it as uncharacterized. The transcript has 3 exons. The record is from RefSeq and is a predicted model, not a curated record. Lineage: Eukaryota; Metazoa; Chordata; Mammalia; Rodentia; Cricetidae.